GUAUUUGUUAUGUUCCUGAAACCCAAAGGAUUUGGCGGUAUUUUAGCCCUUUCAGAGGAACCUGCCCCUUAAUUCGACAUCCCACGAUUUUACUUACUUUUACUUGUAUGUCAGUUUGUAUAUCUCCGUCAUAAGAGAGUCUUUUUAGAGUAAAUUUUCUUUUUCUUUAAAUAAUAAUAUGUCAGGUCAAGGUGCAAUUUAUGUAAAAGUGGAGGUGGGUUACAAUAUAUUUAUAUACAUGGAUUGAUGUUUUUAUAGCAUUAUGAAGGUGGAUUUGAUAGUAAGGUUACUUAUUUUUAUUAACCUGAUUCUGGCUCUAAAAUAUGCACACAUCGCCCG
Molecule: ribosomal RNA, 339 nt
Filed under: Austrolestes annulosus
Lineage: Eukaryota; Metazoa; Arthropoda; Insecta; Odonata; Lestidae
Description: partial 12S ribosomal RNA
Rfam family: Microsporidia small subunit ribosomal RNA
Source: RNAcentral